UUUCGUAAAAAAAAUCUAAAAAAUAGAAAUGAAGACUAUUUUGUAUCCAUAGUAGUUCCCAAGACUGUCUGCUAACAAAGUGGAUUUGGAAAUUACGUAAGUAGAUGAUUGAGCCAUCAUCGGGCAGUCAUCGAUAAGUGUAUAAGGACCAACAACGAGCUAUAUACAGGACAAGAGAAGGAGGAGUAGGAGGAGUUAGUCUUCUUUGAAGAUCGAGAAAAGUGUUAAGUGUAAGUGAUGGAAGCAAUUUUUACCUACAUUCCCGUUGCGUUAUCCCAAUUUCCUGUAGACCGGGAGUUUCUCCAAUAUUUCUUAAUACAGCCAGGGUAGGACCUUGAAUGGCUUUGUUUUGUAAUAGAAGGGUUAAUCUCUUGUCCUGCCAGCCAAAGGGAGGUGUUCCUGCACUCCAUUUUAGAAAUAGAAUACUGCUCAUAGCUACAAAAUUUAAUAAUAGAGCAGUACCAGUGUCUAUUCUAUCAUAAUGCACCUUUUAUUGUUUAUGUACCGCUGCGAGAUGUCGAUUUGGUUAUACGGUCAUGAUUUGAACUAUGGGGGGUAGAGUUUAACCAACCCCGUCUCUUAGAGAUACUUAUGUCGCUUUACGCCGACAGGGCGCAAUCUCGAUUCUAUUGGGACGUUCUCCAGUCCAACGGGUUUAAGAUCGUUUCGGAACGACAACAAAUCGAGUUGGCUCCCCGACUGGAGGGGUUGGCCCAAUUCCAAGAGUGCGUCAGGCUGGAAAACCAAAUGGCGGAACUUGAGGCAUAGAAUGCUCUUCUUCGCCACCAAAUAGCAAACCUAGGACUUACGUAUUUUUAGUUUCUGGUAACAGAAGAGCUAAUCCAAUACCAAGAUGACUAGAAAUAUCACUUCUAUACUAAGGGAAUAUUACAUAUUCUCAACGAGAAGAGAGCCCCCAUCCAGUGAGGGGUGAGAGCAAGGUAGCUUACUGCAUUCUUCGGAUUUGAUACCUAAGGACAAGCUUAGUUAGGAGUUCACGUUCUUCAUUGCUUUGGUCUGACUUCGAAAGAGUUCAAUUUCUUUCGCACUCAUGUGAACAAGGUCAAACUUCUAAUUUCGCUCGAAAGAGUUUUACUAAUUGAACUAGCUACCACCCAUAUAUUAGUUUUACAUUAUUUAAUAUAUUAAGAUCAUCUUUAGGAUUGGGGUUGGACAGUUACAUAUUAAAAUACAGUACUAAAGAGUUUAGUAAACACUAAUUGAUGUAGUUUAGAAAUUAAGUUGAUUUGAUUUUAUACUUGUAUGAUGAAAAAUCUACUAUAUCUUUACUAUUU
This 1295-nucleotide long non-coding RNA is filed under the name Citrus x clementina. Its description in RNAcentral is "Citrus clementina (C. clementina) long non-coding RNA (CCLE_LNC003394)". The record is from RNAcentral. Lineage: Eukaryota; Viridiplantae; Streptophyta; Magnoliopsida; Sapindales; Rutaceae.